Molecule: ribosomal RNA, 586 nt
Filed under: uncultured Simplicispira sp.
Lineage: Bacteria; Pseudomonadati; Pseudomonadota; Betaproteobacteria; Burkholderiales; Comamonadaceae
Description: bacterial SSU rRNA
Rfam family: Bacterial small subunit ribosomal RNA
Source: RNAcentral
UCCUACGGGAGGCAGCAGUGGGGAAUUUUGGACAAUGGGGGAAACCCUGAUCCAGCCAUGCCGCGUGCAGGAUGAAGGCCUUCGGGUUGUAAACUGCUUUUGUACGGAACGAAAAGGUCCUUUCUAAUAAAGAGGGCUCAUGACGGUACCGUAAGAAUAAGCACCGGCUAACUACGUGCCAGCAGCCGCGGUAAUACGUAGGGUGCGAGCGUUAAUCGGAAUUACUGGGCGUAAAGCGUGCGCAGGCGGUUAUAUAAGACAGAUGUGAAAUCCCCGGGCUCAACCUGGGAACUGCAUUAGUGACUGUAUAGCUGGAGUGCGGCAGAGGGGGAUGGAAUUCCGCGUGUAGCAGUGAAAUGCGUAGAUAUGCGGAGGAACACCGAUGGCGAAGGCAAUCCCCUGGGCCUGCACUGACGCUCAUGCACGAAAGCGUGGGGAGCAAACAGGAUUAGAUACCCUGGUAGUCCACGCCCUAAACGAUGUCAACUGGUUGUUGGGAAUUCACUUUCUCAGUAACGAAGCUAACGCGUGAAGUUGACCGCCUGGGGAGUACGGCCGCAAGGUUAAAACUCAAAGGAAUUGACGG